ACUAGCCUACGGGAGGCAGCAGUGGGGGAUAUUGCACAAUGGGGGAAACCCUGAUGCAGCGACGCCGCGUGUGGGAAGACGGUCCUCUGGAUUGUAAACCACUGUCCCCAGGGACGAAAAUGACGGUACCUGGGGAGGAAGCUCCGGCUAACUACGUGCCAGCAGCCGCGGUAAUACGUAGGGAGCGAGCGUUGUCCGGAAUUACUGGGUGUAAAGGGAGCGUAGGCGGGGAUGCAAGUUGGGUGUCAAAACUGCCGGCUCAACUGGUAGUCGCACUCAAACCUGCAGCUCUUGAGUG
RNAcentral lists this ribosomal RNA (298 nucleotides) under uncultured bacterium. RNAcentral's name for it is "partial 16S ribosomal RNA". It matches the Rfam family "Bacterial small subunit ribosomal RNA", at positions 335 to 648 of the family's 1533-position model. The record is from RNAcentral.